This is a non-coding RNA of Kwoniella shandongensis, 68 nucleotides long. Lineage: Eukaryota; Fungi; Basidiomycota; Tremellomycetes; Tremellales; Cryptococcaceae. The record is from the annotation of a GenBank genome assembly.
GGAUGCGAUGGUGUAGUUGCAGCACGGCUCGAUCGAGCAGGUCAUGGGUUCGAAUCCCUGUCCAUCCA